RNAcentral lists this ribosomal RNA (493 nucleotides) under uncultured bacterium. RNAcentral describes it as "partial 16S ribosomal RNA". It matches the Rfam family "Bacterial small subunit ribosomal RNA", at positions 28 to 507 of the family's 1533-position model. The record is from RNAcentral.
GACGAACGCUGGCGGCGUGCUUAACACAUGCAAGUCGAACGGUGAAGCGCCUUCCUUUUUGGUGGGUGUGGAUGAGUGGCGAACGGGUGAGUAACACGUGAGUAACCUGCCCCCUUCUUCUGGAUAACCGCAUGAAAGUGUGGCUAAUACGGGAUAUUCUGGGUCUGUCGCAUGAUGGGUUUGGGAAAGAUAUUGUUUCGGUGGGGGAUGGGCUCGCGGCCUAUCAGCUUGUUGGUGGGGUGAUGGCCUACCAAGGCGGUGACGGGUAGCCGGCCUGAGAGGGUGGACGGUCACACGGGGACUGAGACACGCCCAGACUCCUACGGGAGGCAGCAGUGGGGAAUAUUGCACAAUGGGCGCAAGCCUGAUGCAGCGACGCCGCGUGAGGGAUGGAGGCCUUCGGGUUGUGAACCUCUUUCGCCAGUGAAGCAGGCCUGCCUCGUUUGUGGGUGGGUUGACGGUAGCUGGAUAAGAAGCGCCGGCUAACUACGUG